This 311-nucleotide ribosomal RNA is filed under the name uncultured bacterium. Its description in RNAcentral is "bacterial SSU rRNA". It matches the Rfam family "Bacterial small subunit ribosomal RNA", at positions 28 to 334 of the family's 1533-position model. The record is from RNAcentral.
GAUGAACGCUAGCGGCAGGCCUAACACAUGCAAGUAGAACGGUAACAGGAAUAGCUUGCUAUUCGCUGACGAGUUGCGAACGGGUGCGUAACGCGUAUGCAACCUACCCUUAACAGGGGGAUAGCCUUCCGAAAGGAAGAAUAAUAUCCCAUAAUAUAAUUGAAUGGCAUCAUUUAAUUAUUAAAGCUCCGGCGGUUAAGGAUGGGCAUGCGUGUCAUUAGUUAGUUGGUGAGGUAACGGCUCACCUAGACUACGAUGACUAGGGGUUCUGAGAGGAUUAUCCCCCACACUGGUACUGAGACACGGACCAG